CCGGCACCCAGCCGGGCUUGGUGUCGCCUCGACCGGGGAGCGGCCGUGGGGCGGUUGUGCAACAGUAAUUAGCGCAGCUUCCCCAUCUCCCGCGGCAGGGAGCGGAUCAAAAGGAAGGGGCGUUUUAUCCUGCACCGGCGCGGUCGGGCCUGCUGCCGGCUGUCCUCGCCUGGAAGCCGGGCCUCGGGGCCUGGCGGCCGGGCCUGGGCUCGCCGUUUAGUCUUCCCGGGCAUCCUGGGCUUGACACCUCCGGCGUGUGGGGCUGCGGAGGUUCGCUUUCACGGAGGGCCUUUGUGCAAGUGAACAUUGUGUUUCCCGAGCGAGAAUUAUGCAUGGCAUAUAAACGUGGAGACAAUACGAGAUACGCUUUUAAGGGAGACUUUGUUAUAUAUCUGUCUGGAGUAGCAGGGCUGAAUCUGCAGUUUUAUGAGAAGUAACCCCCAUUUCUUCACUGUGAAUCACCAUAUAUACUUUUCUUUCUCACUCCCUCUCCCCAUACUUGAUAUUUGGGGCAAUUUUAUGUUUUGUUGUAAAAGCUGGAGCCUCAGAACAUUAAAUUCUUCACAUUUUCUAGAGCACCAGCAUGAGGACUACUGAAUCUAGUUCUUUGACACUUGUUCUAGUGACCUGACACAAAUCGAUAAUCUCCCUGCGUUAAAACGUCUACUGUACCUUGGUGCUUUGCGGAAAAAAACAAAAAAUCAGACUAUUUAAAGCGUUUCUUAACCUCAGGAAAAUAUACAGCAAAAUUCCACUGCAUUAAUAAAUUCAUAUUGUUUUUUAA
Long non-coding RNA from Colius striatus (speckled mousebird), 784 nucleotides. RefSeq lists it as uncharacterized. The transcript has 2 exons. The record is from RefSeq and is a predicted model, not a curated record. NCBI's taxonomy places the organism in Eukaryota, Metazoa, Chordata, Aves, Coliiformes, Coliidae.